UACGAUUCUUUAAACAUCCAACCAAAUACGAAUAUGGAGGAAGAAAAAGAUGGUCAUCCCUUGUCAUCAGCAGGUCCCUUUCCCGUGUGUUCCCCUGUUCCCUCCCUUCAGAACUGUGCGCUAUUUCUUUUGCCCAGAGCUGUCAAAUGGUCACCAUGCGGGGCUGACUUCAUGUUCUUCCUCUCUCAAGUAAAUGCCUGCCAAACCAUGUUCCAUAAAACAUGGACCUGUUAAAUGCCAGCCACUACCACCACCACAACAACAACAAAGGAAAGAGAUGGAAUUUGUGAGAGAAUAGUUUGGGAAAAUAUGGGGCUAAAUUACUACAGAACUGCCACGGGUGUUUAAUGUAUUGUGUUUUUUGGGGGGGGGGGUUGUUUUGUUUUGUUUUUGUUUUUAAUGAACCUCUAAGAGAUUAUAGGCAGCAUUCCUCUGGCUUGCCUGUGGACCCUAAAUCCAUUCAUGCAGUAUCUCAGGCUAUGAACAGAGAAUGUCAGUCUCUUUGGGGGGUAAAAAAAAAAAAAAAAAAGCUUCUGUCAUUGUCAUUGUCAUCUGCUCUCUACCAGAAUAAACCUGAGAGUCUGAUUCAUUCUGAAUAUGCAUGAGGUCACAAUGCCACAGUGGUGCUUUUGUAAUGGUGUCUUAGGGGGAGGGAGCCUAUAGAGCUCCUUUUACUGAUAUUACAGAGGAGUACUUUGACAAAUUGUAAGUAAAAAUGCUAGGAUGCAUUGUGCUGCCUACUUAAACCCUGUAGCAAUCUAACUGUCAGAAGGUAAUAUCUGCCUCUUCUUUUCUAUCUCACACACAGACACUCACACACUCAGAGAUAAUUGGAACAAGUCUCCUAGGUGACUCACUGCAAGCCCAGCACUCGAAGAGUCCAGCUACCAGCUGACAUAGGCUCUGGCUGAGUGGACAUGGAAAGGCAUCGCAUGUCAGAAUAAGAGACGAUUGUAAACACUUCCCUGUGCCACUACUGAGAAAGUGUGCAUUCUGCUUAGAGUCAAUCAAGGACAGACAGAUUGCUUUUGUUUGGUUUUCCAUGUCCCUGCAUAUCUUAAGUCCUAUGGAUGUAAAAACAGCACAAAGCAACAAAUAAAAUAAUUCAGCGGCUUACGGAGGUUUGGGAGAACACAUAUCCAUCAGGGUUCGUGACAGGCAGCAGGAAGACAUCCAGAGUAUUGAGAAGAGAAGUGAUGGCUGGAUCAGUCCCAUAAUCAGACGCAAUCUGAGAGGAGACACAAGCUUUCAGUCUUACCAGCUGCUUGGCCCAGAAGAAUCUCAUCAGAGCCUCCAUCAAAACGGGACCGCAACGCUCCCAUGGCGCUCUCCAGCCCUUCAGUUGUCUAAUCUAAGUGACUGGGUUAUUUGGAACAGUGGCCUUGCCAAUUGGAUCACUAAAUAGGAAGGAAAGAUUAUUUUUGCACCAUCAACUUCUACCUUUGUGCAACAACCGAAGCACGGCAGAUAAGGCAUCCUCACGGACUGAAGACCCGUGUGGAACCCACAGGUCCCUUUCCUGGCAGAGCAGGAGGAGGACCAGCAGGCCUCUCUGCAAGGCUGCCUUCUGGAAACUUACUUGAACAUCUUCGAUCAUGAUGGAAUAAGUAAUCCCCUGGGACUCCAGGAAAACUUUGACGUCCUGGAUGCUGGCAAAAGGAACUCGGACAUGGACUGUCUGCCUGGGGACGCUGGGGGAUUUCCAAAAAUCAAGCUGAAAGGAAUAAAGAUUCAAGCCAAAAAAAAAAAUGAUGGAAUCACUCUGGGAGAAACAGAUAGCUGUGUACUGAUGGAUUUCAAUAAUGCAACUGGCUGCCUAGUUGAUUUUGAGUCUACAAAACCAGAAUCAUUCCAGAACCACUGGGAUACAGCAACAAGAGAUUCUGUGUACCCAAGGGUCAGCAAAUAUGUUGUUUUCAGCACACACACACAUACACACACCAUGACCAGAUAUUAAAAUUGGCAGAGAAAGAGAUGAAUUUAAGUUAUGGGAGGUCUUAAAAAAAUAAAAUCAAUCUGGCACUCAAGAGGUCCAAUUCAUUUCAUCAUGGGGUAUUAAUGCCAUAAAUAAUUUUAAGGGGGAAAUAAUGAGUUAAAGGUGUUCAGCUUUCACAGUUUCCAUCCUCCUCCCCCCACCCACUCAAGUCUUGCAGUAGUCCUGCGAGAUAUGAAGAAUGAUAUAUUUUUCCUCAGUUUUCUGAUUGUGAAAAUGAAUCACCGGGAAAGAAGGCCAUUUGCUCGGGGCUGUAGAGUUGGAGCUAAAGUCCAGGUUCUAGGAGUCGGCAUCCCACAUUACCUCCAAGGAGUCAAACUACAGACCCGAAGUAGCUGCCAAUCGCGCCGACUUUAUUUACUGAAGAGAGAAAAUGCUGAUGGGAUGACCAAUACCUCAAGG
Molecule: long non-coding RNA, 2395 nt
Organism: Mus musculus (house mouse)
Lineage: Eukaryota; Metazoa; Chordata; Mammalia; Rodentia; Muridae
Product: predicted gene, 53278
Exons: 3
Source: RefSeq, a predicted model, not a curated record